UGAGGAAUAUUGGUCAAUGGGGGCAACCCUGAACCAGCCAAGUCGCGUGAAGGAUGAAGGUCUUAUGGAUUGUAAACUUCUUUUACACGGGAAUAAAGCGGGGGACGUGUCCCUCUUUGCAUGUACCGUGUGAAUAAGGAUCGGCUAACUCCGUGCCAGCAGCCGCGGUAAUACGGAGGAUCCGAGCGUUAUCCGGAUUUAUUGGGUUUAAAGGGUGCGCAGGCGGGAUGUUAAGUCGGCGGUGAAAUUUUGCAGCUCAACUGUAAAAGUGCCUUCGAUACUGGCUUCCUUGAGUGUAGAUGAAGUAGGCGGAAUUUGUGGUGUAGCGGUGAAAUGCUUAGAUAUCACGAGGAACUCCGAUUGCGCAGGCAGCUUACUAGACUACAACUGACGCUCAUGCACGAAGGCGUGGGGAUCAAACA
Molecule: ribosomal RNA, 422 nt
Filed under: uncultured bacterium
Lineage: Bacteria
Description: bacterial SSU rRNA
Rfam family: Bacterial small subunit ribosomal RNA
Source: RNAcentral